This 303-nucleotide ribosomal RNA is filed under the name uncultured bacterium. RNAcentral's name for it is "partial 16S ribosomal RNA". It matches the Rfam family "Bacterial small subunit ribosomal RNA", at positions 507 to 809 of the family's 1533-position model. The record is from RNAcentral.
AGCAGCCGCCACGGUAAUACGGAGGGUGCAAGCGUUAAUCGGAAUUACUGGGCGUAAAGCGCACGCAGGCGGUCUGACAAGUCAGAUGUGAAAUCCCCGGGCUUAACCUGGGAACUGCAUUUGAAACUGUCAGGCUGGAGUCUUGUAGAGGGGGGUGGAAUUCCAGGUGUAGCGGUGAAAUGCGUAGAGAUCUGGAGGAAUACCGGUGGCGAAGGCGGCCCCCUGGACAAAGACUGACGCUCAGGUGCGAAAGCGUGGGGAGCAAACAGGAUUAGAUACCCCAGUAGUCCCUGUCUCUUAUAA